GAUGAAGAACGCAGCGAAAUGCGAUAAGUAGUGUGAAUUGCAGAAUUCAGUGAAUCAUCGAAUCUUUGAACGCACAUUGCGCCCUUUGGUAUUCCUUAGGGCAUGCCUGUUCGAGCGUCAUUUAAACCUUCAAGCUAAGCUUGGUGUUGGGUGACUGUCCGCUUCACGGCGGACUCGCCUCAAAAUUAUUGGCGGCCGGUACAUUGGCUUCGAGCGCAGCAGAAACGCGAACUCGGCCCCGUCGUAUUGGCUCCCAGAAGCUAUCUUCACAAUUUUGACCUCGGAUCAGGUAGGGAUACCCGCUGAACUUAAGCAUAUCAAUAAGCGGAGGA
RNAcentral lists this unclassified non-coding RNA (332 nucleotides) under soil metagenome. Its description in RNAcentral is "partial contains 5.8S ribosomal RNA, internal transcribed spacer 2, and large subunit ribosomal RNA". The stretch from base 1 to 120 matches the Rfam family "5.8S ribosomal RNA", at positions 35 to 154 of the family's 154-position model. The record is from RNAcentral.